Oryza sativa Japonica Group (Japanese rice) is the source of this 4435-nucleotide non-coding RNA. The record is from RefSeq and is a predicted model, not a curated record. NCBI's taxonomy places the organism in Eukaryota, Viridiplantae, Streptophyta, Magnoliopsida, Poales, Poaceae.
CUCCUAAAAUCCCCUUCCCUUGAAGCGCCGCCCACACAAACCCCGCCUCCGCCGCCGCCGCCGCCGCCGGAGAUGCUCUUCGCCGCCGCGGCCGUGCAGCGCCGGUGGCCCUAGCUCGAGAAGGAGCCGGAGCUCUGCACACCCUCCCCGCGCCAUGAGACCCUGCCCCUUCCUCGGAUGCCCUUCCGACCGCGCCUCCCGCUCCCCCUCCUCCUCCUCCUCCUGCCUCACCUCCGGCGCCGCCGCUCCUCCCCCCGCCCGCCCGUGCCCGCGUGGAGACCGCUCUCGUAUUAUCCCUCGGCGGCGGCCGCGGCGGCGGAGGUGACGGAGUCCGAGGAGGACGCGGCGGCUGUUGGCAGGGACACCCGAGCCCCUCCCUCCAUCGGCGGGAUUGCACGGGGAGCGCCUAGGGUUGGCUGCAAUGGCGGGGGGGCUGCCGAUGACGAGGAGGUCGAGAGGAAGGCCCGCGCUGUCGCGCGGAUCAAGCUCUGCCAUGAGCUUCUGCGGGAGAGGAGGUGGCGCGCGAUGCGGGCAGCCUUGGCGCAGCUGGUGACUGAGCAAGGAUCUGGGUCUGCAGCUGCUCUCUGUGACAUCUUAUGGAACAGAUUCAGAGAGUGUGAUUCCAACGGUUGUGUAUGGGAUGCUCUAGCGAACAGUUAUGCUAGAGCUCAGAUGGUUCAUGAUGCCCUUUACGUUCUUAGUAAAAUGAGCAGCCUAAACAUGCAAAUCUCGGUGUUCACCUAUGACAGUUUAUUGCACGGCUUAAGGAUGACAGACGUGGCAUUGGAGCUUUUUGAAGAAAUGGAGUCUUGUGGUGUCUCUCCCAGUGAAUAUUCGCAUAGUAUUAUUAUUAAUGGCCUCUGUAAGCAAGAUAAGGUUGGAGAAGCUUUAUCUUUCCUUCAGGAAGCUAGGAAGGAGGGAAAGUUUAAACCCUUGGGAAUGACCUUUAACAUUCUUAUGUCUGCAUUGUGUAAUUGGGGGUUUGUUCAGUCUGCAAAAUCAUUUUUAUGCCUGAUGCUGAAAUAUGGAUUAGUCCCUGACAGGUAUACCUUUUCUACCCUUAUACACGGUCUAUGUAAAGUAGGUUCAAUGGAGGAAGCAUUGGAUCUUUUCGAGAGAGUGACAAAAGAAGGAAUGGAACUUGAGAUUGUGACCUACAAUAGCCUUAUCAAUGGGUACCGAUUGCUUGGUUUAACAAAAGAAAUUCCUAAAAUCAUCCAGAUGAUGAGAGGCCAAGGUGUUGAACCUGAUCUUGUUACAUAUACUAUACUUAUUGCUGGUCACUGCGAAAGUGGUGAUGUUGAAGAAGGAAUGAAGGUAAGGAAGGAUGUCCUAGACCAAGGUUUGCAGUUGAAUAUUGUCACAUAUAGUGUCCUUCUCAAUGCUCUCUUCAAAAAAGGCAUGUUCUGCGAAAUUGACAACCUACUCGGCGAGAUCUACAAUAUUGGUUUGGAUAUGGAUGUUAUCGCAUAUUCCAUCCUUAUCCAUGGGUAUUGCAAGCUAGGGGAAAUUGAAAAGGCUCUUCAAGUAUGUAAUGCAAUGUGCAGUUCUCAGAGGGUAAUGCCAACAUCACUGAACCAUUUUUCUAUUCUUCUAGGACUUUGCAAGAAAGGAUUGUUAGUUGAAGCAAGGUGGUAUUUGGAAAAUGUAGCUAGAAAAUAUCAGCCAACUGAUGUAGUGUUCUAUAAUGUCGUUAUUGAUGGUUAUGCAAAACUUGGUGAUAUUGUAAAUGCUGUUCGUUUGUAUGAUCAGAUCACUGUAGCUGGUAUGCACCCAACCAUUGUCACAUGCAAUUCUCUUCUAUAUGGGUAUUGUAAAAUUGGGGAUCUGCAACUUGCCGAGAGCUAUUUUAGGGCUAUUCAGCUAAGUGGACUUCUACCAACAGCAGUGACAUACACUACCUUGAUGGAUGCACUCUCUGAAGCUGGAGAAGUUAAUACCAUGCUAAGUCUUUUUGAUGAAAUGGUUGCAAAGAGGAUCAAGGCAAAUGCAGUAACUUACAGUGUCAUUGUUAAAGGGCUUUGUAAGCAGCUCAGAUUUGAUGAGGCUAUCAAUGUUCUCAAAGAUAUGGAUAGCAAAGGUAUUAAUGCUGACCCGAUAACUUACAAUACCCUUAUACAAGGUUUCUGUGAAUCAGAAAACGUUCAGAUGGCUUUCCACAUACAUGACAUCAUGUUAUGCCGUGGCCUUGUGCCGACACCUGUUACUUAUAACUUGCUUAUUAAUGUGCUGUGUUUGAAGGGAAAAGUUAUUCAAGCAGAAAUACUUUUGGAGUCCCUCAGAGAAAAUGGCAUUAAGUUGAGAAAAUUUGCGUACACAACACUUAUCAAAGCUCAGUGCGCAAAAGGAAUGCCUAUCAAUGCUGUUUUGUUAGUUGGUAAGCUUCUAGAUGCAGGAUUUGAAGCUUCUAUUGAAGAUUUCAGUGCAGCAAUCAAUCGACUUUGCAAAAGACAAUUUGCCAAAGAAGCCUUUAUGUUUGUCCCGAUUAUGCUAUCUGUUGGUAUUUACCCAGAUACUCAAAUAUAUUGUGUGCUAGGCAGAGCUCUGCAGAAAAAUAGUGAGCUUGUCUAUCUACCCAUAUUAAAUGCACUUGCUGUUAAAACUGGUAUUUAAUACCUUGAGCAUGUUUUAUAGGCACUAUGCCCUUGACUCCUUGUGUCUCGAUAAUCGACAAUUGAGGACAAUAUUGGCCCAGGGAAUCACAGGAUCCAUAUGUUGUGCCAAAGAUGCCCGGACUGAGCGCAUGUCAUUUGGUGAUCUUUUUAGCUGAAUCUGCAAUGGUGAAUAUUUCUUAGAUCCAUCAAUGAGGCAGAUAGGCAGAUGGCAUUAAGGUGAGCCAUCACCAUCAGCCAUCCGUGGCUCGUCGGUGGAUGGAGCAACAAAGCAAUCAAGAAAGUAACAUGAAUGUCAUUAGUAGUUGCAGAGAGGCCAUGUAACCAAAAUUAAGUGUCACUCGGUGCUGACUGGAGGUCAUGGAAUGUGAAAUUCCAACGUAUCAACAGAGAUGCCACCCCAAUUGAACUUCAUCCAUGUAACGACGAAUUUUUGGUCAUUGAAGGGUCACUGUGUGGGCAUCACUGAAAACCAAGUUGAUCAGAGGGGAUCCAUGAAGCAUGAAAACCUCCUACUUGUCGGAUGGAAGAGGACAAGGAUGAGGCUAGCCAUCCCACUCUCCUACUGAAGAGCAUCUUGUCAGGUGGCCCCCAGGAUCUCUAGUCUAAGCCCCAAAGAUCUCUUCUACCAAGCUAGCAUCUCCUGAGAUCUCUGUUAGUAUCUGUUGUAUGACCGAAAGCCACAACUUCAGGGCUUGGUGGAAUGGUAGAUGACCACCCUUGUUCUGUUGUUUUUUGUCCUUCAUGUGCUUUAGUCAUUGUCCAUCCUGGGAUUCCAGCGUUUCCCUCUUUAUGUAGUUUGUCUAACAUGCAUUUCACAGUUACACGUUUGUAAUCAGAUCAUGAAUAUUUAGUCAGAAACAAUAGCACUUUGUAUUAAGAUGUACAGCAUUCAUGAUGUAGCCAACUGCAUGUAUAUAUCCAGGUGAAUAGACAACAGAUCAGGAACAGGGAAGACCCAGGAUUUGGAAGCUAGAUGGAGUAUAAAGUGUGUGCAUUCAUGGCAUGGCGCCAAAAUGUGAAGCUGAUGCCCAACAAGCUCAAGGACGACGUGCUAGAGGACAAUCGGAUAAAGCCUCCACUGUUGAUGAUCUGCGGCAAGAGGGAUAGUGACACUUGACCAUGGUAAAAAAAAAAUGAAGAACGGAAUGGAUCCAUGCUGUACUAGUACGUGCAGAUCAGACAUCUGGAUGGAUGGCAUUCAUCUCUGUUACCUUCUGAAAACGCAUCAUCAGCAGCUGGCAGCAGGGAGGGGAAAAGGGAAGAUGAAAAUUUGCCCGUUUCAGAAGGCAAGGGUGGAAGCAGAAUCAUGGGCCAGGUGCUGCACAGGCUCACAGGCACACACACUGCUUGCUUUGGCUUCCACCAGUGGAGACCUGGAGGCACCGAUGUGAGCAUAGCAGGCUGUCGUUGUUGGCGAAAGCCGCGGCAAGAGAGGAUGGCAGAGGAAGAAAGGUGAGGUACUGCAAUGCUGUCUACUGCUCGUGCAGUACAUUAGCAUAUACUACCUCCGUUUCAUAGUACUACUCAGGCCCUGUUUAGUUCAAGGGUGAAAAGUUUUGACGUGUCACAUUGGAUAUACGGACACACGUUUGAAGUAUUAAGCGUAGUCUAAUAACAAAACAAAUUACAUAUUCCGACUGUAAACUGCGAGACGAAUUUAUUAAGUCUAAUUAAUCUAUCAUUAUCAAAUGUUCACUGUAGUACCAUAUUGUCAAAUGGUGGCGUAAUUAGGCUUAAAAGAUUCGUCUCACAAUUUACACGCAAUAUGUGUAAUUAGAUUUUUUUAUCUAUAUUUAAUACUCCAUACAUGUGUUUAAAUA